UUUUUUAAUUUUUUUCUGAAUUAUACUAUUUCGAAAUUCAAACCCUAAACCCUAAAACUCAACUCUAAACCCUAAACCAUCAAUCAUAAACCAUAUUUUUUUGAAAUACGAACCCUAAACCCUAAACCAUCAAUCCUAAACCCUUUUUUUUAAAUAAACCCUAAACCCCGAAACAUCAACUCUAAACCCUAAACCCCGAAACAUCAACUCUAAACCCUAAACACUAAACCUUCAACUCUAAACCCUAAAACAUCAACUCUAAACCUUAAACCCUAAACUUCAACUCUAAACCCUAAACCAUCAACACUAAACCCUAAACUAUCAACACUAAACCCUAAACCCUAAAAAGUAAAUUCUAAACCCUAAACCCUAAAAAAUUAACCCUAAACCCUAAAACAUCAAUUCUAAACCCUAAACCCU
This 420-nucleotide long non-coding RNA is filed under the name Brassica napus (rape). RNAcentral's name for it is "long non-coding RNA (BNAP_LNC017385)". The record is from RNAcentral. Lineage: Eukaryota; Viridiplantae; Streptophyta; Magnoliopsida; Brassicales; Brassicaceae.